Molecule: microRNA, 23 nt
Filed under: Cordylochernes scorpioides
Lineage: Eukaryota; Metazoa; Arthropoda; Arachnida; Pseudoscorpiones; Chernetidae
Source: RNAcentral
GUCUAGUACAACAGGUUGGGCCU